This 404-nucleotide ribosomal RNA is filed under the name uncultured soil bacterium. RNAcentral describes it as "bacterial SSU rRNA". It matches the Rfam family "Bacterial small subunit ribosomal RNA", at positions 26 to 453 of the family's 1533-position model. The record is from RNAcentral.
AGAACGAACGCUGGCGGCAUGCCUAAUACAUGCAAGUCGAACGAACUCUUCGGAGUUAGUGGCGCACGGGUGCGUAACGCGUGGGAAUCUGCCCCUUGGUUCGGAAUAACAGUUGGAAACGACUGCUAAUACCGGAUGAUGACGAAAGUCCAAAGAUUUAUCGCCAAGGGAUGAGCCCGCGUAGGAUUAGCUAGUUGGUGAGGUAAAGGCUCACCAAGGCAACGAUCCUUAGCUGGUCUGAGAGGAUGAUCAGCCACACUGGGACUGAGACACGGCCAGACUCCUACGGGAGCAGCAGGUAGGAAUAUGGACAAGUGGGACGAAAGCUGAUCCAGACAAUCGCCGCGUGAGUGAGAGGAAGGUACCGUUAGGGUUAGUAAAGUCUUACCUUUUAACCCGAGUAU